GGAGACGUACCGAAGUGGCCGUAACGGGGCUGACUCGAAAUCAGUUUAUCGGUGUAUAGCCGGUACGAGGGUUCGAAUCCCUCCGUCUCCGCCA
RNAcentral lists this transfer RNA (94 nucleotides) under Lachnospiraceae bacterium. RNAcentral's name for it is "tRNA-Ser". It matches the Rfam family "tRNA". From Rfam's summary of the family: Transfer RNA (tRNA) molecules are approximately 80 nucleotides in length. Their secondary structure includes four short double-helical elements and three loops (D, anti-codon, and T loops). RNAcentral also lists the same sequence under 1 other name. The record is from RNAcentral. Lineage: Bacteria; Bacillati; Bacillota; Clostridia; Lachnospirales; Lachnospiraceae.